RNAcentral lists this ribosomal RNA (253 nucleotides) under uncultured bacterium. Its description in RNAcentral is "partial 16S ribosomal RNA". It matches the Rfam family "Bacterial small subunit ribosomal RNA", at positions 524 to 776 of the family's 1533-position model. The record is from RNAcentral.
UACGGAGGGUGCAAGCGUUAUCCGGAUUCACUGGGCUUAAAGGGUGCGUAGGAGGGCAGGUAAGUCAGUGGUGAAAUCCCCGAGCUUAACUUGGGAACUGCCGUUGAUACUAUCUGUCUUGAAUAUCGUGGAGGUGAGCGGAAUAUGUCAUGUAGCGGUGAAAUGCUUAGAUAUGACAUAGAACACCAAUUGCGAAGGCAGCUCGCUACACGAAUAUUGACUCUGAGGCACGAAAGCGUGGGGAUCAAACAGG